CACGUAUUUAGCCGUUCCUUUCUGGUAAGAUACCGUCACACAUUGAACAGUUAAUCUCAAUGUCAUCCUUCUCUUACAACAGUGUUUUACGAGCCGAAACCCUUCAUCACACACGCGGCGUUGCUCCAUCAGGCUUUCGCCCAUUGUGGAAGAUUCCCUACUGCUGCCUCCCGUAGGAGUAUGGGCCGUGUCUCAGUCCCAUUGUGGCCGAUCAGUCUCUCAACUCGGCUAUGCAUCAUCGUCUUGGUGAGCCAUUACCUCACCAACUAACUAAUGCACCGCGGGACCAUCUCUUAGUGAUAGCAGAACCAUUCUUUAAGUAGACAACCAUGCGGUUGCUAUUGUUAUACGGUAUUAGCUAUCUGUUACCAAUGUUACUCCCUGCUAAGGUAGGUACGUUCCACGUGUUACUCUACCCGUUCGCCUACUCUUGCCUAAUCGUCCACUUCGUCUAUA
RNAcentral lists this ribosomal RNA (456 nucleotides) under uncultured Weissella sp. Its description in RNAcentral is "partial 16S ribosomal RNA". The record is from RNAcentral. Lineage: Bacteria; Bacillati; Bacillota; Bacilli; Lactobacillales; Lactobacillaceae.